GUGGAUUCUCAAGCGUGAGGUAAGAGCAUUUGGUGGAUGCCUUGGCAUGUGCAGGCGAUGAAGGACGUGGCACGCUGCGAUAAGCGUCGGGGAGAUGUGAGCAAUCUUUGAUCCGGCGAUUUCCGAAUGGGGAAACCCACCCUCACCAUUUCCUUUCGAUUGUUUUCGGACAGUCGGAAAGAGGUGGAUAGGGUAUCACCAGACUGAAUACAUAGGUUUGGUGAAGCGAACCCGGGGAACUGAAACAUCUCAGUACCCGGAGGAAAAGACAUCAACAGAGAUUCCCGUAGUAGUGGCGAGCGAACCGGGACCAGGCCAGUGCCUUCAUUUCAACUAGCAAAACACUUUGGAAAGAGUGGCCAUAGCGGGUGACAGCCCCGUAUGCGAAAGUGAUGAUGAAGGACUCGAGUAGGGCGGGACACGUGAAAUCCUGUCUGAACAUGGGGGGACCACCCUCCAAGCCUAAAUACUCGCACAUGACCGAUAGCGAACACAGUACCGUGAGGGAAAGGUGAAAAGCACCCCGAUUAGGGGAGUGAAACAGUACCUGAAACCGGAUGCUUACAAGCAGUUGGAGCCCCAUAGGGGGUGACAGCGUACCUCUUGCAUAAUGGGUCAGUGACUUAAUCUACCAUGCAAGCUUAAGCCGUUAGGUGUAGGCGCAGCGAAAGCGAGUCUGAAUAGGGCGACUGAGUAUGAUGGAUUAGACCCGAACCCCGGCGAUCUAGGCAUGGCCAGGUUGAAGGUGCAGUAACAUGCACUGGAGGACCGAACCGGUGAAUGUUGAAAAAUUCUCGGAUGAGCUGUGUUUAGGGGUGAAAGGCCAAUCAAGCCGGGAAAUAGCUGGUUCUCCGCGAAAUCUAUUGAGGUAGAGCGUCGGAUGUAUGCCGAUGGGGGUAGAGCACUGGAUGGGCUAGGGCUGCGCGAGCGGUACCAAACCUAACCAAACUCCGAAUACCAUCGAGUCUUAUCCGGCAGACAGACGGCGGGUGCUAAGGUCCGUCGUCAAAAGGGAAACAGCCCUAACCUACAGCUAAGGUCCCCAAGUCAUAUCUAAGUGGGAAAGCAUGUGGGAAUCCCAAAACAACCAGGAGGUUGGCUUAGAAGCAGCCAUCCUUUAAAGAAAGCGUAACAGCUCACUGGUCUAAACAAGGGUUCCUGCGGCGAAGAUGUAACGGGGCUAAAGAUAUGCACCGAAGCUUAGGGUUCAGAAUUUAUUCUGAGCGGUAGCGGAGCGUUCCGUAAGCGAGUGAAGGCGAAGGGUAACCGACGCUGGACGUAUCGGAAGUGCGAAUGCUGACAUGAGUAGCGACAAACAGGGUGAGAUGCCCUGUCGCCGAAAGACCAAGGGUUCCUGCGCAACGCUAAUCGGCGCAGGGUUAGCCGGCCCCUAAGACGAGCCCGAAGGGGGUAGUCGAUGGGAACCACGUAAAUAUUCGUGGGCCUGAAGAUGUGUGACGGAUCGUGGAAGUUGUUUUCUCUUAUUGGAUUGAGAGGGCAGCCAAGCGGUUCCAGGAAAUAGCCUCUUCACUAUAGACCGUACCCGAAACCGACACAGGUGGUCAGGUAGAGUAUACCAAGGCGCUUGAGAGAAGUAUCCUGAAGGAACUCGGCAAAUUGCCUCCGUACCUUCGGAAGAAGGAGGCCCCAUAUCGACGCAAGUCUUUGUGGGGGGCACAGGCCAGGGGGUAGCGACUGUUUAGCAAAAACACAGCACUCUGCUAAGUCGGCUUCAAGACGACGUAUAGGGUGUGACGCCUGCCCGGUGCUCGAAGGUUAAGAGGAGGAGUGCAAGCUCCGAAUUGAAGCCCGAGUAAACGGCGGCCGUAACUAUAACGGUCCUAAGGUAGCGAAAUUCCUUGUCGGGUAAGUUCCGACCUGCACGAAUGGCGUAACGACUUCCCCACUGUCUCCAGGAUAUGCUCAGCGAAAUUGAAUUCUCCGUGAAGAUGCGGAGUACCCGCGGUUAGACGGAAAGACCCCGUGCACCUUUACUGCAGCUUCAGAGUGGCAUUAGGAAAUUACUGUGUAGAAUAGGUGGGAGGCUUUGAAACAUCGGCGCCAGCUGGUGUGGAGCCAACCUGUGAAAUACCACCCUGUGAUUUUCUGAUGUCUAACCACGCACCGUUAUCCGGUGUUGGGACCCUCUGUGGCGGGUAGUUUGACUGGGGCGGUCGCCUCCUAAAGAGUAACGGAGG
RNAcentral lists this ribosomal RNA (2198 nucleotides) under Erythrobacter sp. HI0074. RNAcentral describes it as "bacterial LSU rRNA". It matches the Rfam family "Bacterial large subunit ribosomal RNA", at positions 1 to 2306 of the family's 2925-position model. The record is from RNAcentral. Lineage: Bacteria; Pseudomonadati; Pseudomonadota; Alphaproteobacteria; Sphingomonadales; Erythrobacteraceae.